GAUGAACGCUGGCGGCGUGCCUAAUACAUGCAAGUCGAGCGAACAGACGAGGAGCUUGCUCCUCUGACGUUAGCGGCGGACGGGUGAGUAACACGUGGAUAACCUACCUAUAAGACUGGGAUAACUUCGGGAAACCGGAGCUAAUACCGGAUAACAUGUUGAACCGCAUGGUUCAACAGUGAAAUACGGUCUUGCUGUCACUUAUAGAUGGAUCCGCGCCGCAUUAGCUAGUUGGUAAGGUAACGGCUUACCAAGGCAACGAUGCGUAGCCGACCUGAGAGGGUGAUCGGCCACACUGGAACUGAGACACGGUCCAUACUCCUACGGGAGGCAGCAGUAGGGAAUCUUCCGCAAUGGGCGAAAACCUGACGGAGCAACGCCGCGUGAGUGAAGAAGGUCUUCGGAUCGUAAAACUCUGUUAUUAGGGAAGAACAAAUGUGUAAGUAACUAUGCACGUCUUGACGGUACCUAAUCAGAAAGCCACGGCUAACUACGUG
This 497-nucleotide ribosomal RNA is filed under the name uncultured bacterium. RNAcentral describes it as "partial 16S ribosomal RNA". It matches the Rfam family "Bacterial small subunit ribosomal RNA", at positions 28 to 507 of the family's 1533-position model. The record is from RNAcentral.